Molecule: ribosomal RNA, 440 nt
Filed under: uncultured bacterium
Lineage: Bacteria
Description: partial 16S ribosomal RNA
Rfam family: Bacterial small subunit ribosomal RNA
Source: RNAcentral
CCUACGGGUGGCAGCAGUGGGGAAUAUUGCACAAUGGGGAAAACCCUGAUGCAGCGACGUCGCGUGAGUGAUGAAGUAUUUCGGUAUGUAAAGCUCUAUCAGCAGGGAAGAAAAUGACGGUACCUGACUAAGAAUCCCCGGCUAACUACGUGCCAGCAGCCGCGGUAAUACGUAGGGGGCAAGCGUUAUCCGGAUUUACUGGGUGUAAAGGGAGCGUAGACGGCGGUGCAAGCCAGAGGUGAAAGCGCCGGGCUCAACCCCGGGACUGCAUUUGGAACUGUGCAGCUAGAGUGUCGGAGAGGCAGGCGGAAUUCCUAGUGUAGCGGUGAAAUGCGUAGAUAUUAGGCGGAACACCAGUGGCGAAGGCGGCCUGCUGGACGAUGACUGACGUGGAGGCUCGAAAGCGUGGGGAGCAAACAGGAUUAGAUACCCUUGUAGUC